RNAcentral lists this ribosomal RNA (253 nucleotides) under uncultured bacterium. Its description in RNAcentral is "partial 16S ribosomal RNA". It matches the Rfam family "Bacterial small subunit ribosomal RNA", at positions 524 to 776 of the family's 1533-position model. The record is from RNAcentral.
UACGUAGGGUGCGAGCGUUAAUCGGAAUUACUGGGCGUAAAGCGUGCGCAGGCGGUUCGUUGUGUCGGUGGUGAAAGCCCCGGGCUUAACCUGGGAAUGGCCAUGGAAACUGGCGAACUGGAGUGUGGCAGAGGGGGGUGGAAUUCCGCGUGUAGCAGUGAAAUGCGUAGAGAUCGGGAGGAACACCAGUGGCGAAGGCGACUACCUGGACCAGCACUGACACUGAGGCACGAAAGCGUGGGGAGCAAACAGG